GCAUAUCAAUAAGCGGAGGAAAAGAAACUAACCAGGAUUCCCCCAGUAACGGCGAGUGAAGCGGGAAGAGCUCAAGCUUAAAAUCUCCUUGCAGUCUCUGCUCGGCGAAUUGUAGUCUAUCGAGGCCAAGUCAGCACGCAGGAUCCGGUCAAGUUCCUUGGAAAAGGACAGCAUGGAGGGUUACACUCCCGUCUCUGCCGGCAAAUGCGCGCGUACGACUCGUCUUCUUUGAGUCGCGUUGUUUGGGAAUGCAGCGCAAAGCAGGUGGUAAAUUCCAUCUAAAGCUAAAUACCAGUGCGAGACCGAUAGCGAACAAGUACCGUGAGGGAAAGAUGAAAAGAACUUUGAAAAGAGAGUUAAAGAGUACCUGAAACUGCUGAAAGGGAAGCGAAUCGCGUCCGCUGUCCAUUCCGUGGUCAACCGCUUCGGCGACUGCCACGGAGGAGUCAAAGUCAGUUUGGUGUCGAAGGUAAAGUCGACAGUGCGCGUAGCAUGGCUGACUUUCGGGUCCGGGCCCUACGAGAAACGUUGUGCGUAGCCUCGACGAAGACUGAGGCGAUAACAGCAACCGUGUGUGCUCCGUAAGUUUGUGCGGAGAUCGGGUAGGCAGGUCCUACCUCCUGGCGAGAUGCACCACUAUCAAUGAGACGCAUGCACGCGAGCGGAUGCGCACACACGCUGUUCGGGACUUUGAUCGAAUGGAGCGAUUCGGCCCGUCUUGAAACACGGACC
RNAcentral lists this ribosomal RNA (732 nucleotides) under Pustula tragopogonis. RNAcentral's name for it is "LSU rRNA". It matches the Rfam family "Eukaryotic large subunit ribosomal RNA", at positions 38 to 667 of the family's 3401-position model. The record is from RNAcentral. Lineage: Eukaryota; Oomycota; Peronosporomycetes; Albuginales; Albuginaceae.